Molecule: ribosomal RNA, 851 nt
Filed under: uncultured eukaryote
Lineage: Eukaryota
Description: bacterial SSU rRNA
Rfam family: Eukaryotic small subunit ribosomal RNA
Source: RNAcentral
GCUCGUAGUUGAAUUCUGGGCCGGGCCGGCUUCCGUUUCGGUCGCCUCCGUCCGAGUCCAUCCGCCUGGGGACUUGCUUGUAGUUUACUCUGCGGCAUGCACAACCAGGCACUUUACUUUGAAGAAAUUAGAGUGUUUCAGGCAGGCUUUCGCUUGUAUACACCAGCAUGGAAUAAUAGAAAAGGACUGCUUCAAUUUUAUUGGUAUAUUUGGAGUAGUAAUGAUUAACAGGAACAGUUGGGGGCAUUCGUAUUUAGUAGUUAGAGGUGAAAUUCUUGGAUUUACUAAGGACGAACUAAUGCGAAAGCAUUUGCCAAGGAUGUUUUCAUUAAUCAAGAACGAAAGUUAGGGGAUCAAAGACGAUUAGAUACCGUCCUAGUCCUAACCAUAAACUAUACCGACUCGGGAUUGGGAGGGCGACGUGCCCUUUCAGCAUCGUUACGAGAAAUUAAAGUCUUUGGGUUCUGGGGGGAGUAUGGUCGCAAGGCUGAAACUUAAAGGAAUUGACGGAAGAGCACCACCAGGAGUGGAGCCUGCGGCUUAAUUUGAUUCAACACGGGGAAACUUACCAGGGCAAGACCUUAAUAGGAUUGUCAGCUUGAGAGUGCUUACUUGAUUCGAGGGAAAGUGGUGCAUGGCCCGCUUUAGUUCGUGGUCUGAGCUGUCCCGCUAAUCCGCUUAACGAACGAGACCUUAAUCUGCUAACUAGCAGCGGUUAAACCAUAGCCGUAUACUUCUUAGAGAGACUUAAUUGGCAACAGUGAGGAAGUUUGAGGCAACGCGAGGUCCGUGAUGCCCUUAGAUGUCCUGGGCCGCACGCGCGCUACACUGACACGUUCAUCAAGUAUUAG